GUUUUUAAAAGCAUUUUCUUUAUAAGAUAUGCAUCCGUCAAAUUUAUACGUACAUCCUGGUCCAGUAGAGCAUGAUGUAUUAAAAAUUCAAGUUCAUCAUCGUUCCGAAGGAAUUUGAAAUGGUAGCAUAAAAGAAGAGAGGUCUUGCUUAUAUACGCGUCGUCGUGAUAUUGAAUUUUGGCAACAUUUAAAAUAUCAUCCAUUACAUUCUCGCAUCCUUCAAUAUCUUGAAAAUUGUAGAUUUAAAGGAAUUCUUGAUGUUGGAUGUGUGCCGUAUGACUCCGGAUUAAUUUCUGCUUUAAUUGAAAGAUUUGGGCAUGGGAAAGAAUUAUUCCCCUGCAACCAUUGCCAAAGCCUCUAAGAACCAAUCAACUUGAGGCUUCAACUGUGCUUGCACAUAAAUGGACGCGACGUAGAAAUCAUCAAAAUGAGGCACGAACUGUAAUCGGUGUGAUUAGGG
Solanum lycopersicum (tomato) is the source of this 460-nucleotide non-coding RNA. NCBI's taxonomy places the organism in Eukaryota, Viridiplantae, Streptophyta, Magnoliopsida, Solanales, Solanaceae. The record is from RefSeq and is a predicted model, not a curated record.